CAUCUAGGCGGCUUAUUAAGUCAGAAGUGAAAUACCGGGGCUCAACCCCGGGACUGCUUUUGAAACUGAUUCGCUAGAAUACGGGAUAGGAGGGCGGAACUACAAGUGUAGAGGUGAAAUUCGUAGAUAUUUGUAGGAAUGCCGAUGACGAAGGUAGCUCUCUGGACCGACAUUGACGCUGAAGUGCGAAAGCUAGGGUAGCAAACAG
RNAcentral lists this ribosomal RNA (208 nucleotides) under uncultured bacterium. RNAcentral describes it as "partial 16S ribosomal RNA". It matches the Rfam family "Bacterial small subunit ribosomal RNA", at positions 568 to 775 of the family's 1533-position model. The record is from RNAcentral.